RNAcentral lists this ribosomal RNA (446 nucleotides) under uncultured bacterium. RNAcentral describes it as "partial 16S ribosomal RNA". It matches the Rfam family "Bacterial small subunit ribosomal RNA", at positions 338 to 795 of the family's 1533-position model. The record is from RNAcentral.
CCUACGGGUGGCAGCAGUCGAGAAUCAUUCACAAUGGGGGAAACCCUGAUGGUGCGACGCCGCGUGGGGGAAUGAAGGUCUUCGGAUUGUAAACCCCUGUCAUGUGGGAGCAAAUUAAAAAGAUAGUACCACAAGAGGAAGAGACGGCUCACUCUGUGCCAGCAGCCGCGGUAAUAAAGAGGUCUCAAGCGUUGUUCGGAAUCACUGGGAGUAAAGCGUGGGGGGGAGGGUUCGUAAGGCGGGUGUGAAAGGCGCGGGCUCAACCCGCGGACGGCACAUGAUACUGCGAGACUAGAGUAAAGUAGGGGGAACCGGAAUUCUCGGUGUAGCAGUGAAAUGCGUAGAUAUCGGGAGGAACACUCGUGGCGAAGGCGGGUUCCUGGACAUUAACUGACGCUGAGGCACGAAGGCCAGGGGAGCGAAAGGGAUUAGAUACCCCAGUAGUC